RNAcentral lists this ribosomal RNA (228 nucleotides) under uncultured bacterium. RNAcentral describes it as "partial 16S ribosomal RNA". It matches the Rfam family "Bacterial small subunit ribosomal RNA", at positions 568 to 795 of the family's 1533-position model. The record is from RNAcentral.
UCCGUAGGUGGAUAAUUAAGUCAGAGGUGAAAUCCUGCGGCUCAACCGUAGAGCUGCCAUUGAUACUGAUAUUCUUGAAUGUAGUUGAGGUAGGCGGAAUGUGUAAUGUAGCGGUGAAAUGCUUAGAUAUUACACAGAACACCGAUUGCGAAGGCAGCUUACUAAACUAUGAUUGACGCUGAGGCACGAAAGCGUGGGGAGCGAACAGGAUUAGAUACCCUGGUAGUC